This 803-nucleotide long non-coding RNA is filed under the name Helianthus annuus (common sunflower). Lineage: Eukaryota; Viridiplantae; Streptophyta; Magnoliopsida; Asterales; Asteraceae. The record is from RNAcentral.
UGGUCAUCAAGCAGUACAGUAAACAUGUAUCAAGGUCUAAUCAGUUUGACCCAACGGUUUAGGUUGUGUCGUCUAACAACAACUUUUAUCAAAACCAAUAUCCAUGCUAACUAGUCACCAAGGUUUAACGCAUAAUGUCUAACGAUCUAAUCCACAUAUACAUUUAUCAUAUCAGAAUUAUUCACUAACGUCAUUAGCACAGGACAUGUCGGUUCAUCAUCAUCAUUAUGAACAAGAUCAACAUUGAAAGCCAAAUACAAUCAUUUGCAAAAUCAGUAACGACCUAAUCGCAUAUAUAUAUUCAAUCCAUGAACAAGGCUGUUACUACAUAAAUUAAACCAAUAAUCACAAGUGUUUUUGAUCCUCUAGACAAACAAGAAUCACACUAACCGGAAUCUUGAUUACAGAAUGAGAUCUUCGAGCAGGGGGCUGCUAUGCCGUCACACACACACAAUGGAACUAGGGUUUUUAGAAGUUAACUAUCGACCUACAUGCAUUCACAUAUAUAUAACGUAUCACAGGAAUGGGCCAAGCCCAUUGGAAAGACUGUCGAAGGAUCCUAUAUUUGGUCGAAGGAUAGAGUCUUGGGUCGAAAGUUAGGUCUUAUGUUUUGUGAUCCUUCGAAGGUUGGAUCCUUCGGUCGAAGGAUCUUCGGUUGAAAGAUGUCUUGGUCGGAGGAUCAUUAACAAGUUGCAACAUAUUUCCACUAGCACAAUGAUUUUACAAGAUUCCAAGGAUAAGAAAAUACGACAAAGGAGUCGGGGAAUAGGAUAAUACUAACCUCGGGAAUUCGGGUUGUCACA